GAAAUGCGAUAAGUAGUGUGUAUUGCAGAAUUCAGUGAAUCAUCGAAUCUUUGAACGCACAUUGCGCCCCUUGGUAUUCCAUGGGGCAUGCCUGUUCGAGCGUCAUUUGUACCCUCAAGCUCUGCUUGGUGUUGGGUGUUUGUCCCCGUCUCCGCGCGUGGACUCGCCCCAAAGUGAUUGGCAGCCGGCGUACUGGUCCCGGAGCGCAGCACAUGUCGCGCAAACGAGUGCCUUGGUACGGCGGCGUCCAUAAGCCCCUCUCUCACGCUCUUGACCUCGGAUCAGGUAGGGAUACCCGCUGAACUUAAGC
This 310-nucleotide unclassified non-coding RNA is filed under the name plant metagenome. RNAcentral's name for it is "partial contains 5.8S ribosomal RNA, internal transcribed spacer 2, and large subunit ribosomal RNA". The stretch from base 1 to 105 matches the Rfam family "5.8S ribosomal RNA", at positions 50 to 154 of the family's 154-position model. The record is from RNAcentral.